CUACGGGUUGCUCCAGUGGGGAAUAUUGCACAAUGGAGGAAACUCUGAUGCAGCAACGCCGCGUGGAGGAUGACACAUUUCGGUGCGUAAACUCCUUUUAUAUGAGAAGAUAAUGACGGUAUCAUAUGAAUAAGCACCGGCUAACUCCGUGCCAGCAGCCGCGGUAAUACGGGGGGUGCAAGCGUUACUCGGAAUCACUGGGCGUAAAGAGCAUGUAGGCGGAUAGAAAAGUUGGAAGUGAAAUCCUGUGGCUUAACCAUAGAACUGCUUCCAAAACUCUCUAUCUAGAAUAUGGGAGAGGUAGAUAGAAUUUCUGGUGUAGGGGUAAGAUCCGUAGAGAUCAGAAGGAAUACCGAUUGCGAAGGCGAUCUACUGGAACAUUAUUGACGCUGAGAUGCGAAAGCGUGGGGAGCAAACAGGAUUAGAUACCCUGGUAGUC
This 439-nucleotide ribosomal RNA is filed under the name uncultured bacterium. Its description in RNAcentral is "partial 16S ribosomal RNA". It matches the Rfam family "Bacterial small subunit ribosomal RNA", at positions 339 to 795 of the family's 1533-position model. The record is from RNAcentral.